AAUUACCAUGACUUGCUUGCAAAUGAAGUUCCAAGUGACAAUGGAAACAUGAAGAAUUCAAAUAGAAGCAAUACCAUUGGAAAACCUGCAAAAGAAAAGGAACUCAGCAUCCAUUGUCCAAAUUCCACAUAUCCACCAGUAGUGCAUGACAACAACUUAAAUGUUAUGUCAUCUGGUGCACUUACUGCACAGUGGGAUGAUGUCUGCAAUGCAGACAAGUGCUAAUUGGAAUUCAGGACAAGGAAGUACAAACCCAUCUAAGGAUCUCAUGACAGGUUCUUAUCUUCACAAGCUAUUGCAAAUGUAAUCCACCAAGUGAUAGGUCCCUUCAUCCAGGUUUUGGUAUACUUCAACAUCAGCAUCCUACAACAAACAAGGGUUAAAACUGAAGGUAAUUCAUAUCCAGCAGUAGGAAAAUGUGAAACUGGCUUACACUGCAUAUGCCUAUAAAGAAGAUGCUGGAUGACCUGCAGUGCAACCACUAAAACCAUGACUAGCUUUACGUUUGUAUCCAACAGGAACAAAUCUUACAACACAUUCAAAACACUGCCAACAUUUUUGCAUCAAGCCAAGG
RNAcentral lists this long non-coding RNA (574 nucleotides) under Lathyrus oleraceus (garden pea). Its description in RNAcentral is "Pisum sativum (pea) long non-coding RNA (PSAT_LNC002207)". Lineage: Eukaryota; Viridiplantae; Streptophyta; Magnoliopsida; Fabales; Fabaceae. The record is from RNAcentral.